GCCAGCGUAGCUCAACCGGUAGAGCGGCGCAUUCGUAAUGCGUAGGUUGUGGGUUCGAGUCCCACCGCUGGCUCCA
RNAcentral lists this transfer RNA (76 nucleotides) under Thermotoga sp. Its description in RNAcentral is "tRNA-Thr". It matches the Rfam family "tRNA". From Rfam's summary of the family: Transfer RNA (tRNA) molecules are approximately 80 nucleotides in length. Their secondary structure includes four short double-helical elements and three loops (D, anti-codon, and T loops). Lineage: Bacteria; Thermotogati; Thermotogota; Thermotogae; Thermotogales; Thermotogaceae. RNAcentral also lists the same sequence under 4 other names. The record is from RNAcentral.